AUCAUCUGGGGGGCUUGUUAAAAAGUAGAUUCUGUUUCAGGAAGGUUGGAUCGAGGCCCAGGAAUUUGCAUUUCUAACAAGCUCCCAGACGAGGCUGA
This is a microRNA precursor of Homo sapiens (human), 98 nucleotides long. It matches the Rfam family "mir-544 microRNA precursor family". NCBI's taxonomy places the organism in Eukaryota, Metazoa, Chordata, Mammalia, Primates, Hominidae. The record is from Rfam.